RNAcentral lists this ribosomal RNA (235 nucleotides) under uncultured Actinomycetales bacterium. Its description in RNAcentral is "partial 16S ribosomal RNA". It matches the Rfam family "Bacterial small subunit ribosomal RNA", at positions 96 to 334 of the family's 1533-position model. The record is from RNAcentral. Lineage: Bacteria; Bacillati; Actinomycetota; Actinomycetes; Actinomycetales.
UGGCGAACGGGUGAGUAACACGUGGGUGAUCUGCCCUGCGCUCUGGGAUAAGCCUGGGAAACUGGGUCUAAUACCGGAUAGGACCAUGCUUUAGUGUGUGUGGUGGAAAGUUUUCUCGGUGUAGGAUGAGCCCGCGGCCUAUCAGCUUGUUGGUGGGGUAAUGGCCUACCAAGGCGGCGACGGGUAGCCGGACUGAGAGGUUGGUCGGCCACAUUGGGACUGAGAUACGGCCCAG